Molecule: ribosomal RNA, 467 nt
Filed under: uncultured bacterium
Lineage: Bacteria
Description: bacterial SSU rRNA
Rfam family: Bacterial small subunit ribosomal RNA
Source: RNAcentral
UGCUUGAUACAUGCAAGUCUAGGAGAACGUUUUCUUCGGAAAAUUAUUAAACUGGCGAACGGGUGAGUAACACGUAGGUAACCUGCCGUAAAGAUUGGGAUAACUCCGGGAAACCGGAGCUAAUACCGAAUAUGGCAUUAGAUUCGCAUGAAUUUUAUGUUAAAGUGGGCUUCGGCUCACACUUUACGAUGGGCCUGCGUCCGAUUAGCUUGUUGGUAAGGUAAUGGCUUACCAAGGCGAUGAUCGGUAGCUGGUCUGAGAGGAUGAUCAGCCACACUGGGAUUGAGAUACGGCCCAGACUCCUACGGGAGGCAGCAGUAAGGAAUUUUGCACAAUGGACGAAAGUCUGAUGCAGCAACGCCGCGUGAUCGAUGAAGCUUUUAGGAGUGUAAAGAUCUGUCGUGAGGGAAGAAAAAUUUAGAUGUAAAUAAUGUUUAAACUUGACAGUACCUUACAAGAAAGCACCG